Molecule: long non-coding RNA, 1323 nt
Filed under: Mustela putorius furo (domestic ferret)
Lineage: Eukaryota; Metazoa; Chordata; Mammalia; Carnivora; Mustelidae
Description: lncRNA (ENSMPUG00000029694.1)
Source: RNAcentral
GGGUCUCUCUCCUCUCCACUCUUUGUCCCCCUCAGGUACAUUAUUUUCCUGCUUGAAGAUCGUUUUCCUUGGUGUGUCUCUGUUAGAUCACGAGUUCAAGGAAUGCUUAAAUGAGCCCAUCCUUACGUUCCUGGCUGUCAAAGGCGGGUACCUGCACACCUUGUUUCAGGCUCCAGAAAGGGCAAAGUUGCAGGGCUGUGCUCACCUUGUGCUUGGCAGUGAACGGGAUGGAGACCGUCGGCCCAGACUUCCCAGCUCCCUACUCACGGCAUUAGUGAAGAUCACUUCCAAGCCAAGAAGCCACUUCAAGCCAAGAAGUCUUGGGAAGGAGGUGAGAAUUCAGACGGUGGAAUAAGCCCCUUCGGGCAGCAGUGUGAAAAGAAUGGGAUCGCAGAACUUUCCUGAGCAACGAGGAAAUCUUUCUCCUGUUAUUUAUGCACACUGCUUCACUGUUCCUUCUUUCUUUCUUGUCAUACAACAGAAAUAAUGAUCUUGGUGCUGGACUGAGUACCACGCCAGGACAAUUAAUCACCCGCUGAGUCAUUUAUUUCCUCAUACUCUCUUCCACCAGGACCAUUAUCCUGUAGGUAAACAGAGGUGCCAGUAAAUCACGGGCAGAACACAAGUCAGUGGGAGAAUAGUUGAUUAAGCGUCUCCAUAACUUACAGUUACAUAGCACCUCUCAUCCCAAAGGAUCUCCAAGCACCAGACAGACUGAUGCCUGCGCCACUACCCAGCCCCUAUAGAUGUCACUUUCCACUCCAUUGCCUUGGGGGAGGGGGAAUGUUUAUUGCACUUGUCAUAUAGUUACCCUGGAAGGCAGGAGGCAAAGAGAGGAGCUUUUCACUUCCUCGUCCUUUCAGGGAGCAGAAAUCAACUACCUCGGCAGGAACCCAGCAGCAGUCAGAGGGUAACCUACCCGCCCUCUUGGGCCAAAUUUCUUCGGUUUAGGAAAUGCUGUAAAUGCUAGAAAAUUCCACGUUUGUUCUUCCGAAGGGGUGACAGCAGGGCAGCCGUCGAAACUGAGCGGUGAGCUAGGACAAGAUCUAAAGUCAGUGUUACCAGGGCAGAAAUGUUUUAGGAUCUGCUAGAAUCGUAGUCUAGGGGAGGGAAGCACUCAAAGGAGGGAUCACUUGCCAUGAUCCUUUAGAACUUUUCAUGAUAACUUUGCUCUUUAUUUUAUUUAUUUGUUUAAAGAUUCAUUUAUUUAUUAGAGUGUGCAAGUGUGCCUGCUGUGCGAGUUGGGGAGCAGAGGGAGAGAGAGAGAGAGAGAAGAGUCCCUGCUGAGCGGGGAGCCUGCCAGGGGGGGUUCAGACUCAUCAC